GCCGGGGCAGUAGCGGCGCCCUGUACCUGUGGAAUCCGCUAUAGCAGGGGUGAUGUCAAUCCGAGGGGUAAGUUUUUUUGAAGGCCCAGGUGCGAUUGCGUUGAGGCUUUGGUCUUCCGCAACGGAAAUCUACGAAUCAUGUCAGGUCAGGAAUGAAGCAGCAUUAAGUAGAACCUUUCGUGUGCCGGAAGGGUGCCUGAGCUGAGUUAAUCGUGUU
RNAcentral lists this signal recognition particle RNA (217 nucleotides) under human gut metagenome. Its description in RNAcentral is "Bacterial large signal recognition particle RNA". It matches the Rfam family "Bacterial large signal recognition particle RNA", at positions 9 to 225 of the family's 256-position model. From Rfam's summary of the family: The signal recognition particle (SRP) is a universally conserved ribonucleoprotein involved in the co-translational targeting of proteins to membranes. Archaeal SRP consists of a 7S RNA and homologues of the eukaryotic SRP19 and SRP54 proteins. The record is from RNAcentral.